AAAUAUCUUCAGGGCGGGGUGUAAUUCCCCACCGGCGGUAUAGCCCGCGAGCCGCAAGGCAUGAUUCGGUGUAACUCCGAAGCCGACAGUAAAGUCUGGAUGAAAGAAGGUAUAA
Molecule: non-coding RNA, 115 nt
Filed under: Clostridium tetani
Lineage: Bacteria; Bacillati; Bacillota; Clostridia; Eubacteriales; Clostridiaceae
Also listed under: 1 other name
Description: FMN sequence
Rfam family: FMN riboswitch aptamer (RFN element)
About the family: The RFN element is a highly conserved domain that is found frequently in the 5'-untranslated regions of prokaryotic mRNAs that encode for flavin mononucleotide (FMN) biosynthesis and transport proteins. This element is a metabolite-dependent riboswitch that directly binds FMN in the absence of proteins.
Source: RNAcentral